This 796-nucleotide long non-coding RNA is filed under the name Homo sapiens (human). RNAcentral describes it as "HSALNT0376718". Lineage: Eukaryota; Metazoa; Chordata; Mammalia; Primates; Hominidae. The record is from RNAcentral.
UGUUGUGAUUACAGGCAUGAGCCACCGCACCUGGCCAAGAUGCUUUUUCUGUUUCUGAGAUACAAUGAACUAUAUCUUAAGAAUUCAUAAAGCCCUAAAAAGUAAAUAUUUACAACCAGAAAUCUUUCUGACAAAGAAACAAGAUUACUCAAAUGUUAUUAACUAAAUUCUAAAAGCUUCAUAUAAUCAUCUGAUACAUACAUCACAUCAAUUUCAGCCUAGGCUCUCUAUGGUGGCAAAUUAUUUCAGCACUAAAUCAUGAAGGCUGGAUUCUUGAAGCCUGGCAGAGGCAAAUGUCUCAUUAAUGCUGAUCUGAGAGACAUCUGUGAUGAGCCUGAACAUCAGGCCAAUCUGCAGAGCUGAUCAGGGGCUGCUGAGUGGUUCUGAAGUGAGUCAGGCUGUGAAUGAAGACUCCACCAGAAUGAGGAGAAUUCCAUGCAUGGAGAUUCAAAUAAAGACAAAAGGGAGAUGCAACUAUGGAGGCUGAGAAGUCCCACCAUCGGAGCGCCUCUGCCCCGCCGCCCCAUCUGGGAUGUGAGGAGCGCCUCUGCCCGGCCGAGACCCCGUCUGGGAGGUGAGGAGCGUCUCUGCCCGGCCGCCCCGUCUGAGAAGUGAGGAGACCCUCUGCCUGGCAACCACCCCGUCUGAGAAGUGAGGAGCCCCUCCGCCCGGCAGCUGCCCCGUCUGAGAAGUGAGGAGCCUCUCCGCCCGGCAGCCACCCCAUCUGGGAAGUGAGGAGCGUCUCCGCCCGGCAGCCACCCCGUCCGGGAGGGAGGUGGGGGGGGGUCAGCCCCCC